RNAcentral lists this ribosomal RNA (439 nucleotides) under uncultured bacterium. RNAcentral's name for it is "bacterial SSU rRNA". It matches the Rfam family "Bacterial small subunit ribosomal RNA", at positions 74 to 509 of the family's 1533-position model. The record is from RNAcentral.
GGGAGCUUGCUCUCUGAUUCAGCGGCGGACGGGUGAGUAAUGCCUAGGAAUCUGCCUAUUAGUGGGGGACAACGUUUCGAAAGGAACGCUAAUACCGCAUACGUCCUACGGGAGAAAGCAGGGGACCUUCGGGCCUUGCGCUAAUAGAUGAGCCUAGGUCGGAUUAGCUAGUUGGUGAGGUAAAGGCUCACCAAGGCGACGAUCCGUAACUGGUCUGAGAGGAUGAUCAGUCACACUGGAACUGAGACACGGUCCAGACUCCUACGGGAGGCAGCAGUGGGGAAUAUUGGACAAUGGGCGAAAGCCUGAUCCAGCCAUGCCGCGUGUGUGAAGAAGGUCUUCGGAUUGUAAAGCACUUUAAGUUGGGAGGAAGGGCAGUAAGUUAAUACCUUACUGUUUUGACGUUACCGACAGAAUAAGCACCGGCUAACUUCGUGCC